UAACUCCGUGCCAGCAGCCGCGGUAAUACGGAGGGUGCAAGCGUUAAUCGGAAUUACUGGGCGUAAAGCGUGCGUAGGCGGUUUAUUAAGUCAGAUGUGAAAGCCCCGGGCUUAACCUGGGAACUGCAUUUGAAACUGGUCAACUAGAGUAUGGUAGAGGAAAGUGGAAUUUCUGGUGUAGCGGUGAAAUGCGUAGAUAUCAGAAGGAACAUCAAUGGCGAAGGCAGCUUUCUGGACCAAUACUGACGCUGAGGUACGAAAGCGUGGGUAGCAAACAGGAUUAGAUACCCUGGUAGUCCACGCCGUAAACGAUGAUAACUAGCCGUUGGGGGGAUUUACCCUUUAGUGGCGAAGCUAACGCGUUAAGUUAUCCGCCUGGGGAGUACGGCCGCAAGGUUAAAACUCAAAUGAAUU
RNAcentral lists this ribosomal RNA (414 nucleotides) under uncultured bacterium. RNAcentral describes it as "bacterial SSU rRNA". It matches the Rfam family "Bacterial small subunit ribosomal RNA", at positions 498 to 911 of the family's 1533-position model. The record is from RNAcentral.